Molecule: ribosomal RNA, 785 nt
Filed under: uncultured Pelagibacteraceae bacterium
Lineage: Bacteria; Pseudomonadati; Pseudomonadota; Alphaproteobacteria; Candidatus Pelagibacterales; Candidatus Pelagibacteraceae
Description: bacterial SSU rRNA
Rfam family: Bacterial small subunit ribosomal RNA
Source: RNAcentral
CGCCUAACACAUGCAAGUCGAACGAAGUAGCAAUACUUAGUGGCAGACGGGUGAGUAACAUGUGGGUAUCUACCCUUUGGCCUGGAAUAACACGAGGAAACUUGUGCUAAUACCGGAUAAGUCUUUACGGAGAAAGCUUUAUGCACCAUUGGAUGAGCCUGCACUUGAUUAGUUAGUUGGUAGGGUAAUAGCCUACCAAGACUUUGAUCAAUAGCUGAUUUGAGAGGAUGAUCAGCCACAUUGGGACUGAGACACGGCCCAAACUCCUACGGGAGGCAGCAGUGGGGAAUCUUGCACAAUGGAGGAAACUCUGAUGCAGCGAUGCCGCGUGAGUGAAGAAGGCCCUUGGGUUGUAAAGCUCUUUCGUCGGGGAAGAAAAUGACUGUACCCGAAUAAGAAGGUCCGGCUAACUUCGUGCCAGCAGCCGCGGUAAUACGAAGGGACCUAGCGUAGUUCGGAAUUACUGGGCUUAAAGAGUUCGUAGGUGGUUGAAAAAGUUGGUGGUGAAAUCCCAGAGCUUAACUCUGGAACUGCCAUCAAAACUUUUCAGCUAGAGUUUGAUAGAGGAAAGCAGAAUUUCUAGUGUAGAGGUGAAAUUCGUAGAUAUUAGAAAGAAUACCAAUUGCGAAGGCAGCUUUCUGGAUCAUUACUGACACUGAGGAACGAAAGCAUGGGUAGCGAAGAGGAUUAGAUACCCUCGUAGUCCAUGCCGUAAACGAUGUGUGUUAGACGUUGGAAAUUUAUUUUCAGUGUCGCAGCAAAAGCGAUAAACACACCGCCUGGGG